GUUGCAAAGAACUUUGAAGAGAGAGUUCAAGAGUACGUGAAACUGCUGAGAGGCAAACUGGUGGGCCCUCGAAAUCCCGUCUGCGGGGAGAUUCAGUCGGGUGUCGGCGGCCGUCUCGCAAUGGGUCUGUCGCAACCGAAGAUCGGGGCGCAUUCCGAGAGGCGAGUUCGCCGGAACCCGACGCAUUUCCCGCCCGCACGAAAGGACGCCGCAGCCGGUCGGGUAGCUGCGCGUGUCGGCCAUGAGGACGUUGCGACGGCAGGUGACCGGCGGCCCUAGGCUUCUCCGGAGGCACUAACGGUCGACGGUUGAUUAGCCGGCUCGUCCGUGGCGCGACACCCGACCGAGGUAACACGGACUUCGGAGUCCUCUCUCCACGGAGAGAAACUCCUUACAAUCCACUACUUUCAAUAAGAGAGAGCGAGCCGUCGGACAGGCGCGUUCCUGCGUGGUCGGACAGUCACCGCACUGGUCGAUCUGGUGGGAGCGCGUCGUUGGUUUCCGAGUCGGGAUCUCGCGGAGGAUGAAGGCUGGCGGCGAGUAGGUCGGUAACCCACCCGACCCGUCUUGAAACACGGACCAAGGAGUCUAACAUGUGCGCGAGUCGCGGGGUCUUGUUCAGGCCCAGAGGCGCAAUGAAAGUGAAGGCCGCCGCUCCUUCCCCUCGGGGUCGGAGUGAGGCGGCCCGGUUGGGACUCGCACGUGACACGGCACGUGAACGAAGCACCAACGACCCGCCCUGUUCUAUCUUCUGGAUAGGAACUCAAACGGAGUUCGAGCGCACACGUUGGGACCCGAAAGAUGGUGAACUAUGCCUGGGCAGGACGAAGCCAGAGGAAACUCUGGUGGAGGUCCGCAGCGGUUCUGACGU
Molecule: ribosomal RNA, 871 nt
Filed under: Atypoides riversi
Lineage: Eukaryota; Metazoa; Arthropoda; Arachnida; Araneae; Antrodiaetidae
Description: eukaryotic LSU rRNA
Rfam family: Eukaryotic large subunit ribosomal RNA
Source: RNAcentral